CAUGUGGUUCAAUUCGACGCAACGCGAAGAACCUUACCCAGGCUCGAACGGUGAUGGACAUCCGGCGAAAGCCGGCUCCCGCAAGGGCCGUCACCGAGGUGCUGCAUGGCUGUCGUCAGCUCGUGUCGUGAGAUGUUGGGUUAAGUCCCGCAACGAGCGCAACCCUUGUCCGCUGUUGCCAUCAGGUAAUGCUGGGCACUCUGCGGAGACUGCCGGUGAUAAACCGGAGGAAGGUGGGGAUGACGUCAAGUCAGCAUGGCCUUUAUGUCUGGGGCUACACACGUGCUACAAUGGCCGAUACAAACCGUCGCGAUACCGCAAGGUGGAGCUAAUCGGAGAAAGUCGGUCUCAGUUCGGAUUGCAGGCUGCAACUCGCCUGCAUGAAGUUGGAAUCGCUAGUAAUCGCGGAUCAGCACGCCGCGGUGAAUACGUUCCCGGGCCUUGUACACACCGCCCGUCACAUCACGAAAGCUGGCUGUACUAGAAGUCACCGCGCUAACCCGCAAGGGAGGCAAGUGCCUAAGGUAUGGUCAGUGAUUGGGGUGAAGUCGUAACAAGGUAACCAAGGG
Molecule: ribosomal RNA, 569 nt
Filed under: uncultured bacterium
Lineage: Bacteria
Description: bacterial SSU rRNA
Rfam family: Bacterial small subunit ribosomal RNA
Source: RNAcentral